RNAcentral lists this ribosomal RNA (2921 nucleotides) under Staphylococcus aureus. Its description in RNAcentral is "bacterial LSU rRNA". It matches the Rfam family "Bacterial large subunit ribosomal RNA". The record is from RNAcentral. Lineage: Bacteria; Bacillati; Bacillota; Bacilli; Caryophanales; Staphylococcaceae.
UUAAGUUAUUAAGGGCGCACGGUGGAUGCCUUGGCACUAGAAGCCAAUGAAGGACGUUACUAACGACGAUAUGCUUUGGGGAGCUGUAAGUAAGCUUUGAUCCAGAGAUUUCCGAAUGGGGAAACCCAGCAUGAGUUAUGUCAUGUUAUCGAUAUGUGAAUACAUAGCAUAUCAGAAGGCACACCCGGAGAACUGAAACAUCUUAGUACCCGGAGGAAGAGAAAGAAAAUUCGAUUCCCUUAGUAGCGGCGAGCGAAACGGGAAGAGCCCAAACCAACAAGCUUGCUUGUUGGGGUUGUAGGACACUCUAUACGGAGUUACAAAGGACGACAUUAGACGAAUCAUCUGGAAAGAUGAAUCAAAGAAGGUAAUAAUCCUGUAGUCGAAAAUGUUGUCUCUCUUGAGUGGAUCCUGAGUACGACGGAGCACGUGAAAUUCCGUCGGAAUCUGGGAGGACCAUCUCCUAAGGCUAAAUACUCUCUAGUGACCGAUAGUGAACCAGUACCGUGAGGGAAAGGUGAAAAGCACCCCGGAAGGGGAGUGAAAUAGAACCUGAAACCGUGUGCUUACAAGUAGUCAGAGCCCGUUAAUGGGUGAUGGCGUGCCUUUUGUAGAAUGAACCGGCGAGUUACGAUUUGAUGCAAGGUUAAGCAGUAAAUGUGGAGCCGUAGCGAAAGCGAGUCUGAAUAGGGCGUUUAGUAUUUGGUCGUAGACCCGAAACCAGGUGAUCUACCCUUGGUCAGGUUGAAGUUCAGGUAACACUGAAUGGAGGACCGAACCGACUUACGUUAAAAAGUGAGCGGAUGAACUGAGGGUAGCGGAGAAAUUCCAAUCGAACCUGGAGAUAGCUGGUUCUCUCCGAAAUAGCUUUAGGGCUAGCCUCAAGUGAUGAUUAUUGGAGGUAGAGCACUGUUUGGACGAGGGGCCCCUCUCGGGUUACCGAAUUCAGACAAACUCCGAAUGCCAAUUAAUUUAACUUGGGAGUCAGAACAUGGGUGAUAAGGUCCGUGUUCGAAAGGGAAACAGCCCAGACCACCAGCUAAGGUCCCAAAAUAUAUGUUAAGUGGAAAAGGAUGUGGCGUUGCCCAGACAACUAGGAUGUUGGCUUAGAAGCAGCCAUCAUUUAAAGAGUGCGUAAUAGCUCACUAGUCGAGUGACACUGCGCCGAAAAUGUACCGGGGCUAAACAUAUUACCGAAGCUGUGGAUUGUCCUUUGGACAAUGGUAGGAGAGCGUUCUAAGGGCGUUGAAGCAUGAUCGUAAGGACAUGUGGAGCGCUUAGAAGUGAGAAUGCCGGUGUGAGUAGCGAAAGACGGGUGAGAAUCCCGUCCACCGAUUGACUAAGGUUUCCAGAGGAAGGCUCGUCCGCUCUGGGUUAGUCGGGUCCUAAGCUGAGGCCGACAGGCGUAGGCGAUGGAUAACAGGUUGAUAUUCCUGUACCACCUAUAAUCGUUUUAAUCGAUGGGGGGACGCAGUAGGAUAGGCGAAGCGUGCGAUUGGAUUGCACGUCUAAGCAGUAAGGCUGAGUAUUAGGCAAAUCCGGUACUCGUUAAGGCUGAGCUGUGAUGGGGAGAAGACAUUGUGUCUUCGAGUCGUUGAUUUCACACUGCCGAGAAAAGCCUCUAGAUAGAAAAUAGGUGCCCGUACCGCAAACCGACACAGGUAGUCAAGAUGAGAAUUCUAAGGUGAGCGAGCGAACUCUCGUUAAGGAACUCGGCAAAAUGACCCCGUAACUUCGGGAGAAGGGGUGCUCUUUAGGGUUAACGCCCAGAAGAGCCGCAGUGAAUAGGCCCAAGCGACUGUUUAUCAAAAACACAGGUCUCUGCUAAACCGUAAGGUGAUGUAUAGGGGCUGACGCCUGCCCGGUGCUGGAAGGUUAAGAGGAGUGGUUAGCUUCUGCGAAGCUACGAAUCGAAGCCCCAGUAAACGGCGGCCGUAACUAUAACGGUCCUAAGGUAGCGAAAUUCCUUGUCGGGUAAGUUCCGACCCGCACGAAAGGCGUAACGAUUUGGGCACUGUCUCAACGAGAGACUCGGUGAAAUCAUAGUACCUGUGAAGAUGCAGGUUACCCGCGACAGGACGGAAAGACCCCGUGGAGCUUUACUGUAGCCUGAUAUUGAAAUUCGGCACAGCUUGUACAGGAUAGGUAGGAGCCUUUGAAACGUGAGCGCUAGCUUACGUGGAGGCGCUGGUGGGAUACUACCCUAGCUGUGUUGGCUUUCUAACCCGCACCACUUAUCGUGGUGGGAGACAGUGUCAGGCGGGCAGUUUGACUGGGGCGGUCGCCUCCUAAAAGGUAACGGAGGCGCUCAAAGGUUCCCUCAGAAUGGUUGGAAAUCAUUCAUAGAGUGUAAAGGCAUAAGGGAGCUUGACUGCGAGACCUACAAGUCGAGCAGGGUCGAAAGACGGACUUAGUGAUCCGGUGGUUCCGCAUGGAAGGGCCAUCGCUCAACGGAUAAAAGCUACCCCGGGGAUAACAGGCUUAUCUCCCCCAAGAGUUCACAUCGACGGGGAGGUUUGGCACCUCGAUGUCGGCUCAUCGCAUCCUGGGGCUGUAGUCGGUCCCAAGGGUUGGGCUGUUCGCCCAUUAAAGCGGUACGCGAGCUGGGUUCAGAACGUCGUGAGACAGUUCGGUCCCUAUCCGUCGUGGGCGUAGGAAAUUUGAGAGGAGCUGUCCUUAGUACGAGAGGACCGGGAUGGACAUACCUCUGGUGUACCAGUUGUCGUGCCAACGGCAUAGCUGGGUAGCUAUGUGUGGACGGGAUAAGUGCUGAAAGCAUCUAAGCAUGAAGCCCCCCUCAAGAUGAGAUUUCCCAACUUCGGUUAUAAGAUCCCUCAAAGAUGAUGAGGUUAAUAGGUUCGAGGUGGAAGCAUGGUGACAUGUGGAGCUGACGAAUACUAAUCGAUCGAAGACUUAAUCAA